This 231-nucleotide ribosomal RNA is filed under the name uncultured bacterium. Its description in RNAcentral is "partial 16S ribosomal RNA". It matches the Rfam family "Bacterial small subunit ribosomal RNA", at positions 118 to 347 of the family's 1533-position model. The record is from RNAcentral.
UGGGCAACCUACCCUUGACUCUGGGAUAACUCCGGGGAAAACCGGAGCUAAUACCGGAUAUGAACACGAAGGACAUCCUUUGUGUUGGAAAGUUUUUCGGUCAGGGAUGGGCCCGCGGCCUAUCAGCUUGUUGGUGGGGUAAUGGCCCACCAAGGCGACGACGGGUAGCCGGCCUGAGAGGGCGACCGGCCACACUGGGACUGAGACACGGCCCAGACUCCUACGGGAGCA